Molecule: ribosomal RNA, 256 nt
Filed under: uncultured bacterium
Lineage: Bacteria
Description: partial 16S ribosomal RNA
Rfam family: Bacterial small subunit ribosomal RNA
Source: RNAcentral
UACGUAGGGUGCAAGCGUUUAAUCGGAAUACUGGGCGUAAAGCGUGCGCAGGCGGUUAUGUAAGACAGGUGUGAAAUCCCCGGGCUUAACCUGGGAACUGCAUUUGUGACUGCAUAGCUAGAGUACGGUAGAGGGGGAUGGAAUUCCGCGUGUAGCAGUGAAAUGCGUAGAUAGUGCGGAGGAACACCGAUGGCGAAGGCAAUCCCCUGGACCUGUACUGACGCUCAUGCGACGAAAGCGUGGGGAGCAAACGAGG